RNAcentral lists this ribosomal RNA (372 nucleotides) under uncultured Nitrososphaerota archaeon. RNAcentral describes it as "bacterial SSU rRNA". It matches the Rfam family "Archaeal small subunit ribosomal RNA", at positions 514 to 889 of the family's 1478-position model. The record is from RNAcentral. Lineage: Archaea; Thermoproteati; Nitrososphaerota.
AGCAUCCGUGGCCGGUUGCAUAAGUUUUCGGUUAAAUCUAUGCGCUCAACGUAUAGGCCGCCGAAAAUACUGUGCAGCUAGGGAGUGGGAGAGGUACACGGUACUCAGUAGGAAGGGGUAAAAUCCUUUGAUCUAUUGAUGACCACCUGUGGCGAAGGCGGUGUACCAGAACACGUUCGACGGUGAGGGAUGAAAGCUGGGGGAGCAAACCGGAUUAGAUACCCGGGUAGUCCCAGCUGUAAACGAUGCAGACUCGGUGAUGCAUUGGCUUGUGGCCAAUGCAGUGCCGCAGGGAAGCCGUUAAGUCUGCCGCCUGGGAAGUACGUACGCAAGUAUGAAACUUAAAGGAAUUGGCGGGGGAGCACAAGCCGA